GGAAAUCAAUCUGUUGGCAUCCAGUGAACUCUAGGGAGGAAAUCCGUCUUCGUCUUGAUAUGCAUCUUCAUCAAAUUCCCCUACACCAAAUAUCCAAAACUCCUGCCCCUUGUCCCUAUUCACAAUUCACCUUUCUCUUGUCCCCACUCACAAUUCAUUGCUCUGUGUACAGCUUGUUUCAAUGGCUGAGAUCUCCAACUGUGAAAAGCAACCAAUCUAUCUUAAUGGAGACCUUGACUCAUUUAUUAUUGAAGUUAGAAGGUUUCCUAACAUGUACAUAGUCUCCACCUGCAUUCACACUUUUUUGAUCUACUGCUGCCAUUAAGUCCGCCGCUUCCACCGACGAUGAGACCAGUGAAGAUGACCAGAAUUCAUCACCACUGUUACCAUCGUCG
Molecule: unclassified non-coding RNA, 395 nt
Filed under: Hevea brasiliensis (rubber tree)
Lineage: Eukaryota; Viridiplantae; Streptophyta; Magnoliopsida; Malpighiales; Euphorbiaceae
Source: RNAcentral